RNAcentral lists this ribosomal RNA (463 nucleotides) under uncultured bacterium. RNAcentral describes it as "partial 16S ribosomal RNA". It matches the Rfam family "Bacterial small subunit ribosomal RNA", at positions 28 to 507 of the family's 1533-position model. The record is from RNAcentral.
GAUGAACGCUGACAGAAUGCUUAACACAUGCAAGUCUUUGGCGAAGCUGUGCUUGCACAGCCUAGCCAAGGCGGACGGGUGAGUAACGCGUAAGGAACUUGCCCUGCAGUCAGGGAUAACAGACGGAAACGACUGAUAAGACCUGGUAAAGUCAGGCGGACUCAUGUCCAGCCUGAUGAAAAGAGAUGCUGCAGGAGAGCCUUGCGUCCUAUUAGCUUGUUGGUGGGGUAACGGCCCACCAAGGCGAUGAUAGGUAGCCGGCCUGAGAGGGUGGACGGCCACAAGGGGACUGAGAUACGGCCCUUACUCCUACGGGAGGCAGCAGUGGGGAAUAUUGGACAAUGGGGGCAACCCUGAUCCAGCAAUUCUGUGUGCACGAUGAAGGUUUUCGGAUUGUAAAAUGCUUUCAGCAGGGAAGAAAAAAAUGACGGUACCUGCAGAAGAAGCGACGGCUAAAUACGUG